Molecule: non-coding RNA, 5119 nt
Organism: Phoenix dactylifera (date palm)
Lineage: Eukaryota; Viridiplantae; Streptophyta; Magnoliopsida; Arecales; Arecaceae
Source: RefSeq, a predicted model, not a curated record
CUCUUUCGGCGGGAAUAUCCUCUCCUUCUUUCUCCCUCCCUCCCUGUCCCUCCCUAUAAGAAUUCCCCGACUGCUGUAUCGGUCUUCGAUUUUCCCCUCUUUGCUCUUGAUCGUCCUCUCGCUCGCUCCAUUCGUUUCAUUCCCUCAACCCUAAUUUUGCAAAUCUUGGAACCCUAAUUCGACGAUCGUUCCAAGAAAUCCUAGGUUGGGCCAAUCAAUCAAGAAGAAGGGAUGGACACAGAAGGGCUUUCGAUCAUCUGCGCGGGCCUCGGAUUUGCCGAAGAGGACGAGAACGGGAUUGUGACGGGCUAUUCUAAGAGCGAGUAUUGUUUAGAUAAUUUAAAGGAUCUGCAGAGAUUUCUCCGACGAGAUGAUCCGCAGCGGAGAGAUGUAUUCAAACAGAUUUGCAAGUGGAACACGGUGUCCCGUGAUUUGAUCCCGAUCAUUGAACAUUAUCAGAGCGAUUGGCAUUUGGUGAUCGGUGCCGUGAAAAUUUUGGUGUUCCUUACAAUGCCUAUAGAUCCUGCAUCCGAUGAUAUUGCACAGCAGAUAGAGUAUCUGUGGGAUUUAAAGGCUGCAAUGACACGUAAUGUCACGGUUGCGGUCAUAGUCUCUCUUCUUGAAGACCCGUUGGAACAUCUGGAAUGCAAUGCAUUUACAGAGGACGACUGGAAGCUGGUUCAGCUUGUGCUUACCCUUUUUCGAAACCUCCUAGCCAUCCAAGAAAUUACAUUGCAGCAGAAGACAUCUGGAUCCGCUACUCAGUUUAUGUGUCUGACAGAUAGAUUUCUGGAGCUCAUGUUUCAGGAGAAUGUUAUGGACUUGAUCUUAGUACUCACCCAGCAUGUUGAUUCUUCUGCUUAUCUUCAGCAAGACAAUUUGCUUUUACUGGAGAUUUUCCACUAUAUUGUUCUGGGUCGGGACCCAGAGUUGAUUGCUGGAGCUUCAAGACAGGGUUCCAAGGUUACUGGAGAUAUCACAACUUCUGUAGAUUCUCUCAGGUCAAUUAUGGAGGAGGAAGGGAUAAAAAGAAGGAACAUGAGGCUAAGGAACUUUGAACGUCAUUCACAAUUUAGUGGAACAUUUACCUGCCUUACCAUGGAUGGCUCUAAAACAUUAUUUAAAGGCAAUCCAUCUUCUGCCUCUGGAAAUGGCUUGCUAAAUGUUCGUAAGGUUCAACGAGGUCCAUUAAAAAGAACUGCAUGGGAUCAUGGGAGCUUGUCUUUGCCAAAGGAGAGUACUUUGGAGUUGUUACACAACUUCUUGAAUCAGUUUCUAUCAGGAGGCUACAAUGUUUUGAUGCAGUCCCUUCGUGAAGAUAUCAAUAAGGAGCAUCAAUCCAUUCAGAACACUGAUGUCAUUACAUUUUUCCAGCUUGCUCGUUUUGUUUUAGCUUUUCAAUAUCGGAAGGCCUCAAGUUCAAAGAAACCUGGCAUAGAGGGACCUACAUCUGAGGCUUUGCCUGACCACGAGAAUGUAGAAAACCUAUCAUUCCAUGGGAAUUUAUGUGGACCUAUUGCAGCAACCAUUAAUGAAGCCAUGUUCCUUUUAGUCAUAUCCAAGUGGCGUGAGGCUUUUGAGGGAUUGAAAGAAACUAAUAACCACAAAUCUCUAUCAGCUGCAGGAUCUCUGAUGAAAAGCAUGAUUUGCAUGUUAGAUUUAGUGCUGAAGUUAUUGCCUGAAGAUGCAAAAGAACCUCGGACAGCUCGAAUACUUCUAUAUAAGUUAUUUUAUGAUCAGACGGAACAAGGGUUGACACAAUUCCUCUUAAACCUGUUCAAAUCUUUCGACACUCAUAAACAACCUAAAAGUGAUCUUGCAGAUUUGCUGGAAAUAAUACAUGUGGUAUUACGUCUUAUGGAGAAGCUUCAAGCACAUGGAACAUUAAGGGUUUCUAAAAAAUCAAGAAAGGUCAGAAAAAAGAAGACACAGAAAGAAAAUGAUGAAGUAGAGGCUGAAAAACUGAGAGAACAUGCCAAUACCUGGAAUGCUGAUGAGCAGACAAAUGAGAUUGGAAGGCCUACUUCUCAACCAUUUACUAAUUCAAACAACUUGGUUACCAAGGAACCUUCAGCAAUAUCAGUUUUUGUGGACAAGGGAGGUGCUAACCAAGAAGGCAACUCAGUCCCUAAUCCUGUUGCAGAGCCUGACAUGCCUUUGCAGGAUACAGGACAUCUUGAAGAUGACUUAUCUAUUUUGGAUAGGGACAAGGAGAAUAAUCCCAUUGCUCUCGCAUAUGAAACAGCAGAUUCUUCAAAUGAUGAUCAGCUCCCUGCUACAACUGAAGUUGAUUUUAACAUAUCCAGGUUGGUUACAAGUUUUGCGAACAAUGCUGUUUUACAUAAUUUGUGCUGGUUGCUGAAAUACUAUAAAAGCAACUCUGCUAGUACAAACCACUACAUCAUAUGCAUGCUGCGGCGUUUCUGUGAUGAUCUGGAGAUUUCUCCGAUGCUCUACCAGUUAUCGCUCCUCACCACAUUUUAUGCUAUACUAGCUGAUGAAAAAUCAACAUCUAAAGCAUAUGCAAAUAUUGUAAAUUUUCUCACCAAACUUGUAAGGAAGAUGUUGAAGAUAAUGAAGAAACAGCCAUUACUUUUUGUUGAGAUUCUCUUUUGGAAGGCACGCAAAGAAUGCCACUGUAUCAAUGCGGAAGCUUUAAUGAGUGAUAUUGCCAAUUUAAAGAAAGACAUCAGAGUUUGGGAUAAUGAUGAAGUUGGUUUGCCAAAUGGAGGGUCAAUCCAGAAAAGCAUAGCGGACUCGCUUGGUGAUGAUGAAGCUGAUCUUAUACCACAUGAUAUUCAUGAUCAAAGGGAGGAAAUUUUAUCUGACGGAUCUCGUGAAGAUGAUCUCUGCCAAACAAAGCAAACUAUGGGCAAAAGGAACAACAAGAGAUCCACUUUAAACAAUGAGCCUGAGAAGGACAGAAGCUGUAGAAGAAAAAGAGUACGAGCCUUUAACAAGGAACAGGAGCUUGAGAUCAAAGUCCUAUUCGAAAGGUUUAAGAAUCAUAGGAGGUGCAGUCACAUGAUUGCAAAAGCUUUGGAUGGUGAUAACACAUACACUGCAGCUCAAGUUUCUCGUAAACUCAAGCAACUUGGUCUGCUUGCUCCUCAAGAAAAGAGGUCAACUAAUGUUGAGAAACUCUCAUGCAAUAAGGAAAUCAUUGACAGAGGAGAGCAGUCUGAUGAAGAAACUUUACUAGCAAUUAAACUAAGAAGCCAAAGAACAAAGAGCAAGCUGUUAGUGAAGGAGACUCCAAUGACAAGCAUAUCUCAGCAUAAAGAAACAUCUACAGGGCAAGAUUCUGAUUUCAAGACUUUAAGCACCAUAUUCAACUGAAUAUGCUGAAGCCAAGGAAGGAAAAGUAAAUCAUUCAUGAAGGAGGGUACAAUUGCUAGCAUCUGUCACCACAUGGAGACAUCAGUGGAACGAAAUUCCAAUGAUGAGACUUUAAGCACAAUGUUCAAGCGUGCCGAGUUUCUUUUAUCCCCAAAUAAACUAAUUUUCAGUUUCAUUCAUGCAAGUAUCAGUCUUCUUUCUUUCUUUUUUUUUUUAAAUCUGCAUACGAGCUUGAUGAAACGCACCAGGAAUGAUCAUGGGUAACUAUUUUUGAAGGAGAGGGUUAUGAGCCCUCCCUAGAUUUUAUUAGAGUUUAUUACAAGUUUGAGCAACAAAUAAUAUAUAUUUGGCAAUAAAUAACAGUUUGUUAUCCAGAUCUCUUGUUCAUUUUAAGGAUGUUUUUCUUCCACUAGUUACAAUGCACAUGCAGGUGCACUUGGUUUCAAAGGCUUUUAAGAUUUGAGAUAGUUUAAUUAAAAUCUAAAUUCUAAAAAUAUCUGGAAAAAUUAUUUCAAAAAAUCUAAAAAUAAUUAACUCGUGAUUAUUUUUCUAAUGUGUUAAAUUUCACCUUUGUCUCAUAGCUCAAAAGUAUGUUUUAGCUCCUCUGUUAAAAAUUUUGAGUCUAGAUAUUUUAGAAGUUUCUGAAUUUUUACUUUCUUGCCAAAUUGAAAUUUGUAUCACCUGUUGAUUAAGAAGAUCUCCCCUCUUUUUCUUAUUCUCAAACUCUAGCAAUUUUACAAUUCCUUCCUCUACAGAAAUCUUGCAUGUUUUCUUAGGACUUCAAAGGGAGUAAUUUAAUUAGAGUUGCUAUCUAAAUGUUUUAGAUUUUUGAUGGAAUAAUUUGCUUAGGGCUGUUUUUGGGAUUGAAAAAUUGAGAAAUUAAGAUUCUUUUAUAUAGUUUACGGAUUAAUAAAGAAAAUCAUCCAUAAUUUCCAAAUGCUUAUGUCCUAGUUGACCCAUUAAAUCCACACCUUGGCCAAGAUUCAAAUAUCUUCUGAGUAUUUCGUCAACAACUUAAAAUUGUUGGAAAAUUAUAAUAUGCUUGAUUAAUUUGUCAAAAAUAUGAUAGUCUUUGUUGACCUACUUGAAAUAAAACAAGUUUACAAUUUUGCCGCCAAAAUUCACCCUGCCUUUUAAUUGUUCACAAGCACCCUAUGAUUGGUUGCAACUUUUCAGAUGCACGAGCAUUACCUUUCUUCAGGGUCCACUUUUCUUAUAUAAGGUGCAGACUAGAGAUCAGCCCAAGCCUUAGAGGCAGCAACUGAAGCAGGUUUUAUCCACUUUUUGAAUCACACUUGUUUGGGUCAGGUUGUGUCAACUUCUAAGUUUAAAAGCAACUUAUAUAAUCAAAGGUCUUUUAACUCAUACUGCAUUGAUUAGUUAGCUAUGUGUGACUGAAUGGUUCAGGUUUUGUCGGGUUUUAAACUUAAAAGCAACUUAUAUAACUGGAAGUCUUUUAACUCGUACCACAUUGAUUAGUGAGCUGUCUGACUGGAUGUAUUUAAUACAAAGUCUUGUAGAUUGUGCAGGGCAUGUAUUUUUGAAGAUUUUUAUCCUAAAACUUGUUGCUUAAUACAGCACUUCAUAGUUCUGAACUGCAAAUACUCCCACAUACAAGAGACAUGGUCUCGCAGCAUGAGUUGGGCCCAUCUCAUAAAGGUGAACAUGAAGCGGUUGUUUUUGCUGCUAUGGAUGAUAGGUUUCAGGCUGAGCUGGAUAACCUUGGUAAUAGAGAACAAGAUGGAGUCAAUGAGUUGGAGGACUUGGUCGACUCUGGGGA